This 497-nucleotide ribosomal RNA is filed under the name uncultured bacterium. RNAcentral's name for it is "partial 16S ribosomal RNA". It matches the Rfam family "Bacterial small subunit ribosomal RNA", at positions 28 to 507 of the family's 1533-position model. The record is from RNAcentral.
GAUGAACGCUGGCGGCGUGCCUAAUACAUGCAAGUCGAGCGAACAGAUAAGGAGCUUGCUCCUUUGACGUUUGCGGCGGACGGGUGUGUAACACGUGGGUAACCUACCUAUAAGACUGGGAUAACUUCGGGAAACCGGAGCUAAUACCGGAUAACAUUUGGAUCCGCAUGGUUCUAAAGUGAAAGAUGGUUUUGCUAUCACUUAUAGAUGGACCCGCGCCGUAUUAGCUAGUUGGUAAGGUAACGGCUUAUCAAGGCAACGAUAGGUAGCCGACCUGAGAGAGUGGUCGCCCACACUGGAACUGAGCCAGGCUCAAGACUCCUACGAGAGGCAGCAGUAGGGAAUCUGCCGCAAUGGGCGGGAGCCUGACGGAGCAGCGCGGCGUGAGUGAUGAAGAGGUUCGGCGCGGAAAACUCUGUUAUUAGGUAAGAACAAACGUGUAAGUAACUGUGCACGGAUUGACGGUAACUAAUCAGAAAGCCACGGCUAACUACGUG